This is a non-coding RNA of Paramuricea clavata, 548 nucleotides long. The record is from the annotation of a GenBank genome assembly. Lineage: Eukaryota; Metazoa; Cnidaria; Anthozoa; Malacalcyonacea; Plexauridae.
CAAACAUGAAUGCGAUGUUUGCAACAAAAAAUUUUCAGAUUCGAGCAGUUUAGUCCGACAUAAAAGAACACACACAGGAGACAAACCUUAUGAAUGUGAUGUUUGCAACAAAAGAUUUUCACGGUCUAGCAUCUUGGUGGUUCAUAAAAGAACACACACUGGAGACAAACCCUAUGAAUGUAAUGUUUGCAACAAAAGAUUUUCACGGUCUAGCAUCUUGGUGGUUCAUAAAAGAACACACACUGGAGACAAACCUUAUGAAUGUGAUGUUUGCAACAAAAGAUUUUUAAACUCUAGCAACUUAACGGUUCAUAAAAGAACACACACAGGAGACAAACCUUAUGAAUGUGAUGUUUGCAACAAAAGAUUUUCACGGUCUAGCAUCUUGGUGGUUCAUAAAAGAACACACACUGGAGACAAACCUUAUGAAUGUGAUGUUUGCAACAAAAGAUUUUCACAUUCGAGCUACUUAACGGUUCAUAAAAGAACACACACUGGAGACAAACCUUAUGAAUGUGAUGUUUGCAACAAAAUAUUUUCACAGUCGA